Molecule: small RNA, 28 nt
Filed under: Bombyx mori (domestic silkworm)
Lineage: Eukaryota; Metazoa; Arthropoda; Insecta; Lepidoptera; Bombycidae
Description: ovarian small RNA-13962
Source: RNAcentral
CCUCACUGGACGGGCGAACGACAGAGGA